GUUCUCUGAUCUGCUAAAAGUGUUUAGAAAAAAAGAUUCAAGAUGUGAUGGUGCCAAUGUCUCAGACCAAGCAAUAGUUCAUUCUCAAGGGGCAUAGCAUCUACCUGAAUGAAGAUGAAUGUGAUGGAGUAUUUGGAUGAUAACCAUGCAAGAACCGAAGCGGACAUCAAGAAGACCUUUUUGGGAUUCUGUGAUGUAAAGCAUGAAUUUGCUGAUGCAACAGAAGACCCUGAAGAUAUCGGCAUUGUGCUGGAAGAUGUGGAGGUGCUCUCUGGUUUAGGUAAUGUAGCAUUGGCUACAGCCAUGCUACUUGGACUAAUAUACUUUUUAAACCUUACUUAUCCACGAGUUUCAUUAAACUUUUAAGGUGCUCCAAAAAAUUAUUCUUGAGCGGGACUCGCGUAAAUUGUCUGCCAAAGCACAGGCGCAGAAAACUAAACUCUUCACUUAGGUGUGCGGUGUUUGAGGAUCCCUUUGUGAACGCUGUGUUUUAUUUCCUUGUAUGCUCAUGUGUUUUUGUUGUGCCUGAAUUUUUGCACGAUGAGCAGAGGUGAUUAAGUCUCUCAAUCUCAUUUAAUCUCAUGUUUAAAAAAAAAAACAAAAUAAAAUAAAAUUUUGUUGUUUUCUUAUAUGCUCAUGUUUUAUUUGCAUUGUCAUGUUUUAACUUAGUGAGCAUGUUUAAUUGCCAUAUUUGCAGUUUUAAGCAAGAAGACACGCAAGGUUAAAUGUGCUCAUGUUUUAAAUACAGAUUUUUACAAAAUG
This is a long non-coding RNA of Carassius carassius (crucian carp), 762 nucleotides long. RefSeq lists it as uncharacterized. The transcript has 3 exons. Lineage: Eukaryota; Metazoa; Chordata; Actinopteri; Cypriniformes; Cyprinidae. The record is from RefSeq and is a predicted model, not a curated record.